Molecule: long non-coding RNA, 653 nt
Organism: Passer domesticus (house sparrow)
Lineage: Eukaryota; Metazoa; Chordata; Aves; Passeriformes; Passeridae
Exons: 3
Source: RefSeq, a predicted model, not a curated record
UGCAGCAUUAGCAACAAGUCUCCAAGGGGCUGGGCUGAGAGGGGCAGAGCCUCACCCAAGGCCCACGAAAGCACCAGCAGGGCACUGUGACAACACCCCUGAGCCAGCCCGAGGCAGUGACCUGGUGUCCUGAGCCACUCUCUGAUGGCAAACUGUCUGCAACGGGCAAUUGAGCUUUUUGAUGUUUCAUUUCUCCCCUUUAUUAGAUUGUAUCACUCCAGAUUGUUCAAAUACAGGGUUUCUCUUUCCAUGGAGACCCUUGGACUGCAAAGGAUCAGAAGGGUUCUUCCCUUAUGGAUAUGACAUUCCAAUGUCAGUGAAAGAAGUUUCAUCUGCCUUCACUUCUGCAUGACAGUGUUCAACAGUGUUGCAGAGCCAGACAAUGCAAGUUUGUGGAACAUCGUUUCUCUCCUUCACAAACAGCUUUCCAACCACCAAAAUCAGCCCUCCCAUGUUUUUAAAACCCUCUGUAAACCUGCUCAACGUGUCUUCAGGAAUCUCUUUCCUCCAUGUUUCUGCUGAAGGAGUAUUUCAGGCAAAUCACAAGAUAUUCACUCAAAGCUGGAAUUUGUACUAAAGGAUCACCUUAAGUACAGCUGACAAGAAAUGGAAAGGAAGUUGCUUAAUGAAGACAGAACAAGAACUGUGCUUGG